This 458-nucleotide ribosomal RNA is filed under the name uncultured bacterium. RNAcentral's name for it is "partial 16S ribosomal RNA". It matches the Rfam family "Bacterial small subunit ribosomal RNA", at positions 338 to 795 of the family's 1533-position model. The record is from RNAcentral.
CCUACGGGUGGCAGCAGUGAGGAAUAUUGGUCAAUGGGCGAGAGCCUGAACCAGCCAAGUCGCGUGAGGGAGUACUGCCCUAUGGGUUGUAAACCUCUUUUGUCGGGGAGCAAAAGCCGGACGUGUCCGGCUGUGAGAGUACCCGAAGAAUAAGCAUCGGCUAACUCCGUGCCAGCAGCCGCGGUAAUACGGGGGAUGCGAGCGUUAUCCGGAUUUAUUGGGUUUAAAGGGUGCGCAGGCGGGCUGUUAAGCCGGCGGUAAAAAUUCAGGGCUCAACCCUGUCGAGCCGUCGGAACUGGCAGGCUUGAGUGGGCGAGAAGUAUGAGGAAUGCGUGGUGUAGCGGUGAAAUGCAUAGAUAUCACGCAGAACGCCGAUUGCGAAGGCAGCAUACCGGCGCCCGACUGACGCUGAGGCACGAAAGCGUGGGGAUCGAACAGGAUUAGAUACCCGUGUAGUC